Molecule: ribosomal RNA, 951 nt
Filed under: Gammaproteobacteria bacterium
Lineage: Bacteria; Pseudomonadati; Pseudomonadota; Gammaproteobacteria
Description: partial 23S ribosomal RNA
Rfam family: Bacterial large subunit ribosomal RNA
Source: RNAcentral
GGGUAAGUUCCGACCUGCACGAAUGGCGUAACGAUGGCCACACUGUCUCCACCCGGGACUCAGUGAAAUUGAAAUUGCUGUGAAGAUGCAGUGUACCCGCGGCUAGACGGAAAGACCCCGUGAACCUUUACUACAGCUUUGUACUGGAUCUUGAGCCAGCUUGUGCAGGAUAGGUGGGAGGCUUUGAAACGAGGACGCCAGUUCUCGUGGAGCCAACCUUGAAAUACCACCCUGGCUUGUUUGAGGUUCUAACCCAGGCCCGUUAUCCGGGUCGGGGACAGUGCAUGGUGGGUAGUUUGACUGGGGCGGUCUCCUCCCAAAGAGUAACGGAGGAGCACAAAGGUACCCUCAGCGCGGUCGGACAUCGCGCAUUGCGUGUAAAGGCAAAAGGGUGCUUGACUGCGAGACGUACAAGUCGAGCAGGGACGAAAGUCGGUCUUAGUGAUCCGGUGGUUCUGUAUGGAAUGGCCAUCGCUAAACGGAUAAAAGGUACUCCGGGGAUAACAGGCUGAUUCCUCCCAAGAGUCCACAUCGACGGAGGAGUUUGGCACCUCGAUGUCGGCUCAUCACAUCCUGGGGCUGUAGCAGGUCCCAAGGGUAUGGCUGUUCGCCAUUUAAAGUGGUACGCGAGCUGGGUUUAGAACGUCGUGAGACAGUUCGGUCCCUAUCUGCCGUGGGCGUUGGAAACUUGAGGGGAGCUUCUCCUAGUACGAGAGGACCGGAGUGGACGUACCUCUGGUGUUCCGGUUGUCACGCCAGUGGCAUUGCCGGGUAGCUAUGUACGGAAGGGAUAACCGCUGAAAGCAUCUAAGCGGGAAGCCCACCCCAAGAUUAGGUUUCCCGGAUCUUCGGAUCCCUGAAGGGCCCUUGAAGACUACAAGGUUGAUAGGCUGGGUGUGGAAGCGCGGCAACGCGUGAAGCUAACCAGUACUAAUUGCCCGUGCGGCUUAA